AUGGUCAUGAUCGAGCCUUGUCACUGGGGCAUUGAAGCAACCUCUGCUUGCAAACUCCCAGUUCUGAAGGAUUGGCUCGAAGAACGCAAACUCAUGCAGCAACUCCUAAAACAACAUCUCAACCGUGCUCGCAACACGAUAAAAGUUCAAGAUGACAAGAAACGCACCGACGGGACCUUCCAACCUGGAGAUUCGAUGUUUGUCAAGCUACAGUCGUACAUUGAAACAUCAAUCGAGAGAAGGGUCACAAACUUGCCUUUGAAUACUUCGGGCCCGUCAAAAUUCCACAAGUUAUCAAUCCGGUGGCAUACAAACUCGAACUACCUGAUCUAA
Molecule: ribosomal RNA, 333 nt
Filed under: Triticum aestivum (bread wheat)
Lineage: Eukaryota; Viridiplantae; Streptophyta; Magnoliopsida; Poales; Poaceae
Description: partial small subunit ribosomal RNA
Source: RNAcentral